UAGCUCAGUUGGUAGAGCGCCUCCAUGGUAAGGAGGAGGUCCCGGGUUCGAAUCCCGG
This 58-nucleotide transfer RNA is filed under the name Acidimicrobiaceae bacterium. RNAcentral describes it as "tRNA-Thr". It matches the Rfam family "tRNA", at positions 8 to 63 of the family's 71-position model. Rfam says of the family: Transfer RNA (tRNA) molecules are approximately 80 nucleotides in length. Their secondary structure includes four short double-helical elements and three loops (D, anti-codon, and T loops). The record is from RNAcentral. Lineage: Bacteria; Bacillati; Actinomycetota; Acidimicrobiia; Acidimicrobiales; Acidimicrobiaceae.